This 520-nucleotide ribosomal RNA is filed under the name uncultured Glomus. RNAcentral's name for it is "SSU rRNA". It matches the Rfam family "Eukaryotic small subunit ribosomal RNA", at positions 569 to 1090 of the family's 1831-position model. Lineage: Eukaryota; Fungi; Glomeromycota; Glomeromycetes; Glomerales; Glomeraceae. The record is from RNAcentral.
AGCAGCCGCGGUAAUUCCAGCUCCAAUAGCGUAUAUUAAAGUUGCUGCAGUUAAAAAGCUCGUAGUUGAAUUUCGGGACCAAUCUGCCGGUCGUGCCUCCGGUAUGCACUGGUUUUAUUGAUUUCUCCCUUCUGACGAAUCAUGAUGUCAUUAAUUUGGUGUCAUGGGGAAUCAGGACUGUUACUUUGAAAAAAUUAGAGUGUUUAAAGCAGGCUCACGCUUGAAUACAUUAGCAUGGAAUAAUGAAAUAGGACGUUUGACCCUAUUUUGUUGGUUUCUAGGAUCGACGUAAUGAUUAAUAGGGAUAGUUGGGGGCAUUAGUAUUCAAUUGUCAGAGGUGAAAUUCUUGGAUUUAUUGAAGACUAACUACUGCGAAAGCAUUUGCCAAGGAUGUUUUCAUUAAUCAAGAACGAAAGUUAGGGGAUCGAAGACGAUCAGAUACCGUCGUAGUCUUAACCAUAAACUAUGCCGACUAGGGAUCGGAUGAUGUUAAUUUUUUAAUGACUCAUUCGGCGCCUUA